This 456-nucleotide ribosomal RNA is filed under the name Symbiodinium sp. clade A13. RNAcentral's name for it is "partial 23S ribosomal RNA". The record is from RNAcentral. Lineage: Eukaryota; Dinophyceae; Suessiales; Symbiodiniaceae.
AAUAACGACCUGCAUGAAACAUAGAACGAUUCGAUAGCUGUCUUGCACACACAUCAUGGUAAAAUAUUCAUCAGUACAAAGAAUAUGCUGGUGAACACUAAAGGACAAAAAGACCCUCUGAAGCUUUAUAGGGAUAAAAUCUAGUACACAUCCCGUUUAUAAGCUGAUGGCCCCAAGAAGCGAGUAAACACAAACUGUUUAAUUGGGGCGAUAAGCUUAUCUAAUCCACCUAAGGUGAACAAAGCCAUCCAAUGAGCCCAACUAAUAAGUGCAAAGAUACAUGUUUCGCUUAAUGGCCCAAGAAGUCCUUCCCAGUAUUUAAAUGCUAUCUUAAUGAGCUUAAAAUUAAUCUACCAACACCAAGCUACUCUACGGAUAACAGGCUUAAUUUCGGCAAUACGAAAGCUCACAUUAUCAAGAAAAAUGCACCUCGAUGUCGGCUUAUCAUCACCAAAA